GUGUCAGCCGCCGCGGUAAUACGUAGGGUGCUAACGUUGUUCGGAAUUAUUGGGCGUAAAGCGCGUGUAGGUUGCCAAGUAAGUUGAAUGUGAAAGCCCUCGGCUCAACCGAGGAAGUGCAUUCAAAACUGCUCGGCUAGAGGAUGGUAGAGGAAGGUGGAAUUCCUAGUGUAGAGGUGAAAUUCGUAGAUAUUAGGAGGAAUACCUGUGGCGAAGGCGGCCUUCUGGGCCAUUCCUGACACUGAGACGCGAAAGCGUGGGUAGCAAACAGGAUUAGAAACCCCUGUAGUCC
RNAcentral lists this ribosomal RNA (292 nucleotides) under uncultured bacterium. RNAcentral describes it as "partial 16S ribosomal RNA". It matches the Rfam family "Bacterial small subunit ribosomal RNA", at positions 505 to 796 of the family's 1533-position model. The record is from RNAcentral.